RNAcentral lists this transfer RNA (72 nucleotides) under Camelus bactrianus (Bactrian camel). It matches the Rfam family "tRNA". From Rfam's summary of the family: Transfer RNA (tRNA) molecules are approximately 80 nucleotides in length. Lineage: Eukaryota; Metazoa; Chordata; Mammalia; Artiodactyla; Camelidae. The record is from Rfam by way of RNAcentral. RNAcentral also lists the same sequence under 2 other names.
GAGGGUAUAGCUCAGUGGUAGAGUGUGUGCUUACCACACACAAGGGCCUGGGUUCAAUCCCCAGCACCUCCA